RNAcentral lists this unclassified non-coding RNA (373 nucleotides) under soil metagenome. RNAcentral's name for it is "partial contains 5.8S ribosomal RNA, internal transcribed spacer 2, and large subunit ribosomal RNA". The stretch from base 1 to 121 matches the Rfam family "5.8S ribosomal RNA", at positions 35 to 154 of the family's 154-position model. The record is from RNAcentral.
GAUGAAGAACGUAGCGAAAUGCGAUAAGUAAUGCGAAUUGCAGAAUUCCAGUGAGUCAUCGAAUCUUUGAACGCACAUUGCGCCCUUUGGUAUUCCGAAGGGCAUGCCUGUUCGAGCGUCAUUAUCACCCCUCAAGCCCUCGGCUUGGUGUUGGACGGUUUGGUGGAGGCCCCGUCGGGGGCUCCUGCCCCUCCCAAAGACAAUGACGGCGGCCUCGUUGGACCCCCGGUACACUGAGUUCUUCACGGGACACGUAUCGGACACAUGGGUUUACGGGACACGGUCUGCCUCCCCUCAGGGAGAAUCUUUCUAAGGUUGACCUCGGAUCAGGUAGGGAUACCCGCUGAACUUAAGCAUAUCAAUAAGCGGAGGA